RNAcentral lists this ribosomal RNA (238 nucleotides) under uncultured bacterium. RNAcentral's name for it is "partial 16S ribosomal RNA". It matches the Rfam family "Bacterial small subunit ribosomal RNA", at positions 524 to 760 of the family's 1533-position model. The record is from RNAcentral.
UACGUAGGGUGCGAGCGUUGUCCGGAAUUAUUGGGCGUAAAGAGCUUGUAGGCGGUUUGUCGCGUCUGCCGUGAAAAUUCGAGGCUCAACCUCGAACUUGCGGUGGGUACGGGCGGACUUGAGUACUGCAGGGGAGACUGGAAUUCCUGGUGUAGCGGUGAAAUGCGCAGAUAUCAGGAGGAACACCGGUGGCGAAGGCGGGUCUCUGGGCAGUAACUGACGCUGGAGGAGCGAAGAC